RNAcentral lists this ribosomal RNA (320 nucleotides) under uncultured bacterium. Its description in RNAcentral is "bacterial SSU rRNA". It matches the Rfam family "Bacterial small subunit ribosomal RNA", at positions 29 to 334 of the family's 1533-position model. The record is from RNAcentral.
AAUGAACGCUGGCGGCGUGCCUAACACAUGCAAGUCGAGCGAGAAAGCGACUUCGGUCGUGAGUAAAGCGGCGAACGGGUGCGUAACACGUGGAUAACCUGCCUAGAUGUGGGGAACAACUUGGGGAAACUUGAGCUAAUACCGCAUAAUCUCGCAUUGAGAGAUCAAUGUGAGGAAAGAUGGCCAAUUCUUGAAAGCUGUCGCAUUUAGAGGGGUCCGCGGCUGAUUAGCUUGUUGGUGAGGCAACGGCUCACCAAGGCAACGAUCAGUAGCCGCCCUGAGAGGGUGAUCGGCCACACUGGAACUGAGACACGGUCCAG